Molecule: ribosomal RNA, 253 nt
Filed under: uncultured bacterium
Lineage: Bacteria
Description: partial 16S ribosomal RNA
Rfam family: Bacterial small subunit ribosomal RNA
Source: RNAcentral
UACGAAGGGGGCUAGCGUUGUUCGGAAUUACUGGGCGUGAAGCGCGCGCAGGCGGCUAUCCAAGUCAGUGGUGAAAGCCCGGAGCUCAACUCCGGAACUGCCAUUGAAACUGUUUAGCUUGAGGAUGAGAGAGGUGAGUGGAAUUCCCAGUGUAGAGGUGAAAUUCGUAGAUAUUGGGAAGAACACCGGUGGCGAAGGCGGCUCACUGGCUCAUUACUGACGCUCAGGCGCGAUAGCGUGGGGAUCAAACAGG